UCUUGUGCAGAUGAAUAGGAAGGAAGAGAAAGUUUGUGCAAUGCACAGUUCCCUGGCCUUCAGUCUCUCCUUACUCAGCUUAGAGACAAAAGUCAGAGUGUGGGGACAGUGUACACACAUCCUGAACUGAAAAACAAAGACCAACAACAGAAAGCUGUUCUCCGUGGCCUGGUGUGAUUAGAGGGCUGAAAUGACAGGCAUGGACCACCACCCCAGAUUUGGUGGGGGAAGCAUUCUGCCGUAGCACCAAUGUGGAAGUCAGAAGACAAUUUGCAAAAGCUGGUUUUCUUCUUCUGCCAUGUGAGUCCCAAGGAAUGAAUUCAGGUCACCUGGCUUGGUGAACAAGAUAUUGAACUCUCAACUCCUCCUGCACUAUGCCU
This is a long non-coding RNA of Mus musculus (house mouse), 380 nucleotides long. RefSeq annotates it as predicted gene, 38843. The record is from RefSeq and is a predicted model, not a curated record. The transcript is spliced from 3 exons. NCBI's taxonomy places the organism in Eukaryota, Metazoa, Chordata, Mammalia, Rodentia, Muridae.